Long non-coding RNA from Brassica napus (rape), 1248 nucleotides. RefSeq lists it as uncharacterized. The transcript is spliced from 3 exons. The record is from RefSeq and is a predicted model, not a curated record. NCBI's taxonomy places the organism in Eukaryota, Viridiplantae, Streptophyta, Magnoliopsida, Brassicales, Brassicaceae.
GUAUAAAGCCCAAUAGCCCAACAAAGUAAUCAUAAUUGUGUUCGACGCGAAGACAUCGAAGUUCAGCGUUCGUCUCUCUUCACUGUUCAGUUCUGACCUCUGAUCUUCAUCACUGAAACUGAAACGGUCGGAAUUAUGUGUUCUUCGUGUGGUGUUAAAUCCUUAUUAAUUCAAUCCACCAUGAUGAGGCUUUGAAUGCGUGCUAGGCUUUGUUGAGUCGGUGGAUCUACGAGUAUAAAUAAAUCAGUAUUUAUAAAAUUUGGCCAACUUCGUUCUUCUCCUCCCUGAUUUGAAGCGGGCCGUUGUCCCAAUCUCCCUCAGCUAUUCUUAUAUCAUCCCACCGAAACGGUUACUGUAGAUAACACGGACAUUGAACACCGCCUCUGUAACUUAUGAUGCUCUCAUUCAAUCGGCCUAAUUAUUUCAUUCACAUCACUAGAAGAAAGAAUUGGAUCACAGUGAAACUAAACGGCGCCGUCGGCAAUUUCCUCCUCCUCCUGGCUUACCCAUCAUCUGGAACUUGCACCAGCUAGGCGAAAAACCACAUCAGUCUUUAUGGAAACUCACGAAGAAGUAUGAUCCUGUAAUGUUACUGACACUUGAAAGAGUUUCAACAGUUAUAGUUUCCUCCCCUGAAACAGCAUGAAGGUCGUACAGAUCUCCCAUGAAUGGUGUGAUCUUAGAAAUGGUAAGAACCCCGUCGAAUGUAACAUAUUACACAUCCAUUCACUAGACGUAUCAAAAAUGAUGGAUUUAAGUUACAAUUCAGUGGGUGCGUAAGCAGGACUUGGAGCAUCCAUGGCUGAGUAUAAUGUGGGACAUCAGCCACUGAGCCACCAUGGCUUUCAGUCAACUACAUAAUCACAAAAAGGCCACCAGAAAGUUAAGCAAACCAAACAAAAAGAUAUUGCAAAAGCAAUGUUUAACUUUUUGCUUCUAACCAAAUAAAACAGAUCACUUACGUAUAUAGAUACUUAAACUUACGUGUGUGACCAUAUGUCUGAAACAAAAUUUAAGAUAUAAGAACUUAUAUUGUAUAACAAAGUGAAAUUUUACGGUUAACAAAUAACAGAUAUCCCACAAGGUUAAGGGGUUUUGCAGAUUGUUCAAGGAUUUUCAGAUGAACCAAAAUUUGCUACUCGCUUAAAGCUUUCCGUUGUUACCAUGAAGCAUGUGUUGUAAUGAUUUAAAACAGUCUGGACUUACAUAUUUUAUGUUGCUAUUUGUAACUGAAGUUUGUUAGUACGU